This 303-nucleotide long non-coding RNA is filed under the name Glycine max (soybean). RNAcentral's name for it is "long non-coding RNA (GMAX_LNC002235)". The record is from RNAcentral. Lineage: Eukaryota; Viridiplantae; Streptophyta; Magnoliopsida; Fabales; Fabaceae.
CUGAUUACCUUGUACCCCAAGAAGUUCCAUUUCAAUUUCAAUUUCAAGAUAUGAGCAAGAAUGACAACAACAUGCCAAUGAACCAUACCAAUAAUAACCUUCAAAUGCCUCAAAUCACAUCUUUCUCCAAGCCUCCAAGGUCCUCAUCAAAUCUAAGCAACCGCAAACCCUCCUUGAAAAACAUCACAAUCCCUUCCAUAACCUCUGGUCUUGCAACAGCUAUGUCACAAACAACAGCAACAACAACAACAAUAGCUACAACCAUGUAUAACAACAACCAAGUUUCUUCUUCUUCUUUUUCUU